This 228-nucleotide long non-coding RNA is filed under the name Homo sapiens (human). RNAcentral's name for it is "HSALNT0190178". The record is from RNAcentral. Lineage: Eukaryota; Metazoa; Chordata; Mammalia; Primates; Hominidae.
AUUUUCUGCUCCUGAAUUCAAAGAUUAAAAUGUGUGGUAUAUCAGUACUGGGAUUUAUGAGGACAAUGUGGUUAAUUUAAAUGCCUUUUGGAGCAAAUAGGACGUAUCUUAUUCCAAUUUUUUGAAGAUAGAGAAAGUGCGUGGUCCUGAACACAACAGGAUAGAAUGCAACUGAAGAAAUGGCUGGUGCAAUUCAGCAAGGUAAAAGAUUAUCUUACCCCCAGCUGG